ACGACAGUUGCUGAUUGGAGAAUGAGCCUGUGCGCCUGGCAAGAAGCAGUGUGAUGAUUGGUCAGCUAAGAUGAGCGAGGAGGGCGCGGGACCAGGUCCAGCUCUGCGGCUCCGCCCCCGGAAAAAUUUCCGCCGGAAGUUUCGUCCCCCAGGGAGCGGGAACUUGGGCGACCGGUGUCUUGGGAAUGGGUGUCUGUUACAUGGGCUUUAGCACGAGCUGGGCGUUUGGCCGAGUCCCACCGAACUGCCUAGGGCCUUGUGGCCGGGGGAAGCCAACCCCCUGCUCUGAGAAGCGGACUCUCCAUCUGUAAAAGGCUAGGCAUGCCCACUGGGGCCUGUGGUCAGGAUUGGCGAGUCAAGUCUGCAAAGCCCCUAACGCAUCCUGCGCCCUUCGUUAGGGUGAGCACUGAUGGGGACUCGCAUUGCGCCAACAGGUAGCGGGGUCUCAUCACUGGGUCCGCUCGUCUGCUCGCGGAGACUGCCCCGUGAGGACUGGCGCUCGCCUGCUUUGCCCACCGUGUAGCCUCAGCCUCCACCCAUAUCCACAGUAGGCAUCCAUUCCAUUGGUGUUCGCUAAAUGAUUGAAUUAUGACUGUGAGUGAAUUAUCAUGUGAAUGAUAGUAAUUGUUGUCGCCGACCCUAUGGAGCACCUCCCUUUGCCAGGCACUCCCAUCCUGGCAAUCUUAGAAGAACGCCCCACCUCUGGAAUCGAGAAGCAGUCGGGAAGAGCAGUUUUGUGUUUCCUCCUACACCUGGGCAACAGGCAGGCCCCUGACAACCGCAAGUAAUUCUCUUCACGGAGAGCCUGGAUCUCACAACAGCUUGUCAUUAGUGCUGUUUAGCAUUUAAUUUGCCUUUAGUUAGGUAACAAGCAUUUACGGAUUACCUGUUAGGAAUGAGUGCGCAGUAUGGGGACAGAGGGAUGAAUGAGGCACAGACUCUGCUCACAGCCUACUUGGGGCUAGAAAUAGUUACUCAGGAAAGAAAACUUGAAAGCAGUUAACAAAUGCAAACGAUACACCAUUCUGGGGAAUCAUCACGCUUUCAGAAUGCAAGACUGCAACUCCUGGCACACGUCUAAGGAAAAAUGUAUGUGCUGCCGCAUUUCAUCUCAUGAUGGGAGUGAGGAUAUGCGGUCACUCCUUCUGUGGGCCAAGGAAUGAUCUGGCUUUCUCUUCCUCUGCAGAGUCCCUGCAUGGUAGAGACCCAGGAUGGAGGCGGCCACCACCACCCAUUGAAAAUCAGCCUGUCAGGCUGGGUGUGGCAGUUCACACCUGUAAUCCCAGCACUUUGGGAGGCUGAGGUGGGUGGAUCACAAGGUCAGGAGAUCAAGACCAUCCUGGCUAACACGGUGAAACUCCAUCUCUACUAAAAAUACAAAAAAUUAGCCAGGCAUGCUGGCACACGCCUGUAGUCCCAGAUACUUGGGGACGCUGAGGCAGGAGAAUUGCUUGAACCUGAGAGGCGGAGGUUGCAGUGAGCCAAGAUCGCACCACUGCACUCCAGCCUGGGCGACAGAGGGAGACUGUCUCAAAAAAAAGAGAAAAAAAUCAGCCUAUUUGCCCAAUCUGGCCAACCCCUAAGGCCUCUGGCAAAACACUGAAGCCUAGGUGUGUCCAGGUUGGCAGUGAGCUGGGAUUCAUUCAUGGCGGCCCCCAGGAGAUUGAGUUUUUAAACCAGCCUGAGGCAGGUGGUGGACAUGGAUUGGCAGCACUUACAGAUGGCAGGGAAGGCUUUCCAAGGGGCUGAACAGUCCAUCACUGUUAGGGAAGCGAACGUUAGAAGGGCAGCUCAGAGCGAGCCAUGUGGCUGGGCCAGAGAGAGCCUUCCAAGUAUGUAGCCAGUGGAGGCAGCUGGACACAGCUGAUGUGACACGGCCAGGCUGGAUCUGUGAGAUGCUGGGAGUGCUCCAACCAUCCGGCUUUACGGAGCACUACUUCUGUGCUAACUUCCUGACGCCAAGGAAAGUGAGAGAGACAUAGCCCUGGCCUCAAGAAGCUUUCCUGGCAGAUGGCUGUGUAUCCGGGAUAUGUUAAGAGAAGUGUAAUAUUAAGCAAAAGUGGAACUCUGAGCCCCCACCAUUGGCAGAGGGCUUCUUAGAGUAGGUCGUGCCUGGAAUGCACUGAAUCAGGGUAAGCCGGGUCAAGCAGGGGAACAGCAACCCAGGCGGAGGGAAGUGUAUACAUGGGACACAGAGGGUGCAGACAGCCAUGGUUCUGUGGCAGUGAGAUGGGCGCCAGGCCACCAAAUGGAUCUGAGAGAUUAUUUCCCCAUCUGGGUAUUGCAUGUACUAUGGAUUGUAAAGGGGUGACCUGCGAGAGGGAAACACUGGGGGAAAGGGCCCUGAGCCAUUCACUUCAGUGUUGGGGGAUGCGUGGACUGGGGAAGGGGCUCCGGCUGGCUCCCAUGCAGUCUGACUCUGUAGGCAGGGCCUUGCUCACACUAUCUUCAGACUUCCAUUCCCAGCUGGUCCCCAGCACCACAAAUACAUGUAAAGAUAACAACUCUAAAGAGGGAGAAAAUGUAAUUUUUUGGUCGAUUUUUAUUUUUCAAACACAUUUAGCAUUCUCUGGUUUUUAAAAAAUGCUUUUAAUAGAGCACAGACUCCUUUCCUCAGUGGUGAGGAGACAGAUUUAAGGGCUGCAGCUCAGACAUUCAGUGCCAGCUAGCAUUCAGGGAUCCAAGUGUGAGAAUCAAAUUGUCGUUUGAUGUGUGGAUUUGGCAAAGGCUCAGCACGCCUUGGAGACAGUGCCCGUGGCCCACGCUGUGUGGCAGGUGCUUCUGCCUUGGGCUGUCUCUGCUCCUGCCGGCCCAGCCUGUCAUCGGCUGAAAAGUCGGCGUCUCCCACACCCAUCAACUCCUCUCUGGCACUGAGUUGAUGGAUGGUGUGACCACACUUAAGAGGCACAGCAUGCUCCUGCUGGGUGGAAUUUUAAGACACCUGGUCUGUGACCUCUUCAUUAUGAGAUGAAAGGGGCCCUCCCUGCAGUCCCACAGAUAGGGGCAGAGUGGCACCAAAGCUGGCGCCCGAGCAGCAGGGAAGGGUUCUGUCCUCAUUUGGGCAUGUUGUUUCUUCCCACCUGGUAUGUGCCCUCCCUGACUCCUGCCCCGUUUCCAGCCUCAGCUCAUAUGUACUCCUCACGCUAAGCAGCCUCCCUGAAGCCACCUGCUUGGAAUCUCUGUGGUGCCGACUGUCCACCCCGCCCCUUUUGUUUGCCCGUUUGUUAUGGAGGUGUGUGUUUAAACAGGCAAAGCAGCGUGUUGCCAGGGAUGCCAGGAAAGCCCAUUUAGCCAUCAACUGGAGACUGACAACUAGAAGAAACCUUGGAGGCCAUGUGACAGAUAUAGAGACAGGCUGAGAGAAGACGGGGGAUGUGCCCAGGUCAUACAGCCAACCAGGGACAAAGUCAGGACUUUGGAGCCCAGGUCCUCUGCUGCCUCACCAGGCCUCCUUCCAUAAGGCUGUGGGCAAUCGCCAGAGCAGAGCCCCAAGGGAACGGAAUGGAGGGGAACUCGAUUAGAAGGGGCAGAAGACCAAGGCCAGGUCACCAGGACUCAGCACAGGGCCUUGCAGAGCAGGUGCUCCUAAAUGCCCAAGAGAUGCAGGAAGAGAGGGGGAGAUGGGGGUGCCAAGGAUCUCAGCAGCUCCAUGGGAAUCACAUUUUUGGGCUUGGGACAGAGAAAGAAGGGUUGAAGGAAGGGCACCAGAAACACAGCUGUGCCUGGAAUUGGAGAGCCAGUGACCUCGGAAAGGACGUUGCAGACAGUGGGGAAGAACACGAGCCAGGCUGCACUUGUAGGAAGGACUGGGACCUGGGCCACUGGCAGUAAGGAAACGUCACUAUGGAAAUGGGGGCAAUGGCAGGAAGUGGGGGGCCAGGGUGAGGAGACAGGAGCCCAGCCUGGGUCUCGUCUGGGAAGAUGCAGCCUCUGUGGGCCAAGCAGGGACAGGAAAACCUGACGUACAGUCCCUACUCUCUGGACAUCCCUGUCUCUGAGGGAGACAACCACACAACACUGAGGUGGGGCAGUGAGAAAGCAGGGACCACUGGGGAGCAUGGGGGACAUGCUUGCCCGGCAGAGGAGGCAGGGCUGGGCAGCUCAGGUGAGGGAAGUGAUCGUCCUGAGGACCCUGGCUGUGGUAGCAGCUGCCGAGGGUGGCUCCGAGUGGAAGGGCUGUUCCAGGAGCUGGUGAGCUUACCAGAGACAGGAUGUCCCUUGCCAGGGGUGUCACAGAGGCUGUUCCUCAGCUGGGUAAUGCUGGGCCACCUGACCCAGGGGCCCUCCCCAUCUGAAAAUGCACAUUGUACAAUAGAGUAGAAGGGGAUGUCGAUGGGCAGGAAUGGAGCCAAACUCUGUGGAGAACGGAGUUGGCCAGGCAGAGCUGCCGGACACCCGAGGCUCCCUCCUUCCACCACAAACAGCAAUGCCCCACGGCCUAGAGAGGUGGGUAAAAACAGAUCUCCACUAAGAUCUCCCAGGACAGGUCCUGUGCAUGGUGGCGCCUGUACCUGAGGGGAUCCCUCUCUGCAGUGCUGGGGACAUCGUGGAUGCCCACCUAGCAGUGCUCACACACCUCCCCACCACCUGCUGACAAAUGCAGCUUGGCCACCCUGGGCCCUGGUGGGCUGGCAGGGAGCAGGGCUGACACAGACUCAUUUUAUUUAUUCUCACAAAGGAGUGUCACCAUUGUUAGAACAAUCCUCUGACGUGAGCAGGACAGUGAUGAUCACCACUGUGUAAAUUGUGACUCUGGACCAGAGGAAGUGACUUACCUGCUUCAGGUCAGAAAGCCGUGGAAUCUGCUGACCAAACGAGUUGGUGUCAGAGCCCAGUCAGGAGGAGGGCGACGCAUGCCCAGCCCGGGCAGGGGCCGCAGUUGAAGGCCACCAUUUGAGAGUUCAGGGACUUGCUUGGCAAAAAGUAUGUAUGUACACACACACACGUGCGGAAUCUCAAUUGGUCUGUGAAAUGAAAACGCAGGCAAUCACUGGCUUACACUUAGAGGGCUCUGACAUUCGAGGCUGCCGUGGUGGAUUGUUGUGUAAAGGGACUAGGCCGAGGGCUGCCCAGGACUGUCGCCCAUUCCCUGCCUGUCCAGGUGUUCCUCACCCUCAGGACGCAGCUCAGACCCCACACCCCAUGCCAUCGAGCCAGCCCAGUGGCUCCCUCCUCCCGACCCUGUCUACCUCGGGGUUCUCAGGGCACCAUUUGCCUUGGCUUGUUUUCCCUGCCUUAGCUCCAGGUGAGCACAGCAGGAACCAUGCUCAGAAGCCAGCACACAAAGACCAGAGACCACAGACCCCUAGGGAACCUUGGAGAUGCUCUCAGAUAGUCCCCGCCCCACUUUGCAGAUGUAGUGACUCACAGCCGGGACAAAGGUUCCCUCGCUCAUGCCCCUGAGGUCUACCCACACAGCAGCCAGGGGAACUUCUAAAAAUGCAAAGCAGGUGGCGUUCUUCUGAGUAAGCCCUCCCAAGGCUUCCUAUCUUAGUACAAAAGCUGAAAUCUCAUGACCUGUAUGUGAAGCCCUCCAGCUGGCUCGUGGCCACCCUUCCAAAACCAAGCGCCUGCCAGCACACUGCCCACCCAGCUACAGCCGGGCCAUCUCCUCAGAGGCCACCCGCCCCCAUUCUUUCACGGGUAUGUUCCCUGUCCCCUUACAGCAUGCUUGAGCCUGAAUUCAUCUUGGGUUCUGUCGCCUGUUUCCCCCACUGGAAUGCAAACUCCACGGAGGCAGGGCUUUCUCUGCCCACUGCCACAUCCUCAGUGCCUGGAACAGCGCCUGGCAUGGAGCAGGUGCGGUCGAAUGACCGGCUCCAUAAAGCGAGGUGUAACAUGAACCGUGCAGGGAUGAGCAGACGUGGCUGAAUCGGCACUGCCUGGGCUCCAGGUGCACUGACUGUAUCCUGGCUGCUUGAUGACAUGUGGUUAACACAUGACAAGAGGGCAAGCCCUCUAGGACACAGCAGACCAGACACUUGAUUAAUUAGCUCAGGGUCUGUGUCAAUUCUAGGUGCCGAAAUAAUGUCUAGGAUUUCACCUGGGACCUGGAAGUAGUAGUUCAUUUGACAGUAAACAUAAGUUUUGGAAGGCUCAAGCUUUCUCAAGGAAAGCAAUGCCCUGGACUUUCCUUCCACAAGAAAUCAGCAAGACAGACUGGAAUUCCCAGUGGGGAAGCGCAAUUGGCGGGCUGGCCUCGGGCACCAGUGCGCAAUGCUGGGCACGGGCCCCCAGGCAGGCUGACUGGGAGUUGCCCACACCUGGACCAAGGUGCACCCACCUCUCCCCAUGCAUUUCUCCUUUCUCCUCCACCCCCAUUUAUAGAAGUGAUCAGAGAUUAAUGAGGAAAUGGGGGGUAACUGACGCCCUCGAAAGUCUGAAUUUGAGUGAAAUAAUGGGGAGAAAUGACCCCUUGGCAAGUCUGAAUGCUACUUCAUCAAAGCCCAACACAGACCUGUUUCCCUCUGCUGUCAACCCCAGGGAAUGGGCUGUCAAUGGGGCCCACACUCAUGCUGUCCCAAGCGCCGAGGGCACCACGGCAGGGGCCCCCUCUGCCCCCCCAGCACACACGCUCCACGCAAUGCCACGGGAAUGUGUCUUUAUUAAAGAUGCAAGCAAGCACAGAAGGAUCAUGUGUAGUGCUCAGUAACAUCCAUACAGUACUAAAAAUAGAAAAAUAGAAAUGAAAUUUCACAGAAAGCAGCCUCCCUCACAGAAACACAGGCAAGGUGCUGCUGAGCCCACCGUGCAAUGCCACGUGCCACCUGCCUGGCCAUGCUUCUCCCCUUUACAAACAAAAACACAAGCUCCUCUCUGCACCCGUUUCAAAGACAGCACCAAGAACGGAGACCCCUUCCAUAGCAGCAACCCUCCUGACCACCACUUUGGGUGCUUCCCAGCCAUAUGAAUAACAGAGACAGCCCCCGUCCCCACGGGGUUGGCUGGCUGCUGGCCCCCGUGUCUCCAUCACUUCAGCGACUUUGGGCCAGAAAAUUAGGCAGUGAAGCAAUAAACACCUCACCUUUACUCCCACAGAUACGCGGAGGGACGAGGUGGACAGACAUGAAGUCGGCUGUGCCAACCUGAUCCAAGUGAAACAGGGCUACACUCGCAAAAUGGCUCUCCCACAGCCUAGUGCCUCGGGUGCACAGAACAAACUGAAUGAUAAAGACCCGGGGUUUUUGGAAAUUAACCAUUAAGCAUCUGCUUGCCAGCUAGUAGGCCAUCACUUCGGGAAACAAAAGUAAAGCUGCGGAAUUAAGCUCAAAUUCUGAUCGCAACUCAGUCCUUUGGUGGCCGACUCUCCGCUUACUGCAUGCAAAUGUUCCUGACUGCAUGAGACUCCCAUCUGCUGGCCUCACCUGGCAGCUUCCCUCAGCACAUGUCC
Non-coding RNA from Callithrix jacchus (white-tufted-ear marmoset), 7390 nucleotides. The record is from RefSeq and is a predicted model, not a curated record. Lineage: Eukaryota; Metazoa; Chordata; Mammalia; Primates; Cebidae.